Non-coding RNA from Paramuricea clavata, 1328 nucleotides. NCBI's taxonomy places the organism in Eukaryota, Metazoa, Cnidaria, Anthozoa, Malacalcyonacea, Plexauridae. The record is from the annotation of a GenBank genome assembly.
CGACCUGAGAGCAAGCAAGGCUACCCGCCGAAUUUAAGCAUAUUAAUAAGCGGAGGAAAAGAAAACAACCGUGAUGCCCCUAGUAAUGGCGAAUGAAACGGGCAGAGCCCAGCACCGAACUGCCGUCCCUUUGGGACGUGCGGCAUGUGGUGUUUGGGAGCGGCUUUAGAGGUGGCUGCUGAGGCUUAAGUCAUCCAUGACUGGGUCUACAGCCCGCAGAGGGUGAUAGGCCUGUAAAGCUGAAGCUUCCUCCUCGUUGCCGUCUCCCCAGAGUCGAGUUGCUUGGGAGUGCAGCUCAAAGCGCGUGGUAAACUCCACGUAAGGCUAAACAUGUCCCCGAGACCGAUAGCGAACAAGUACCGUGAGGGAAAGUUGAAAAGAACUUUGAAGAGAGAGUUCAACAGUACGUGAAACUGUGUAGUGGUAAGCGGAGGGGUUUUCUCGAAGUCUGCGCCGGAGAUUCAGGCUCUCGGGUGGCAGUCCGUGCGGUUCUUGACCCUUGCGGGCAGGGCCGGACGGCUUGCUGCUCGCCCGAGGGUUGCACUUCUCUGGCGCUUCACGCAACGUACCGCUGGCAAUUGCAUGCUGCAGGCCUGGGUGAAGUUCCGUUUGCCGGCCCAGCGUUGGCGAGUGGAGCACCCUGCGUUCUGAGCCGUGCGGCCGGCGGGUAGCAGAGCGGCCUCGUAUAGCGAGUGUUCAACCCGUUGUUGGCACUGGCUGCAUCUCUGUUGCGAGUAGGUCGGUGGCCCCUCCGACCCGUCUUGAAACACGGACCAAGGAGUCUAACACGCGUGCAAGUCAUUGGGUGGACGAAACCCAAGGGCGCAGUGAAAGCAAAUGCAGGGGCGAUCCUCGUGCCGUUUGGUGCGGGCGCAGCCCCGGCGCUUCAAUUUGACCUCGUCUCAUCUGGAGCAGCAGGAGCACGCGUGUUGGGACCCGAAAGAUGGUGAACUAUGCCUGGCCAGGUUGAAGUCAGGGGAAACCCUGAUGGAGGACCGUAGCGAUUCUGACGUGCAAAUCGAUCGUCGGAGCUGGGUAUAGGGGCGAAAGACUAAUCGAACCAUCUAGUAGCUGGUUCCUUCCGAAGUUUCCCUCAGGAUAGCUGGUGCUCGUGACCGAGUUUCAUCCGGUAAAGCGAAUGAUUAGAAGUCUUGGGGGCGAAACGCCCUCAACUUAUUCUCAAACUUUAAAUGGGUGAGAAGUGGGACUUGCUUGAUUGAAGCCCUACAACGAAUCGGAGUGCCUAGUGGGCCAUUUUUGGUAAGCAGAACUGGCGAUGUGGGAUGAACCAAACGUCGGGUUAAAGUGCCAAAGUGGGCGCUCAUCAG